Non-coding RNA from Pelobates cultripes (western spadefoot toad), 226 nucleotides. NCBI's taxonomy places the organism in Eukaryota, Metazoa, Chordata, Amphibia, Anura, Pelobatidae. The record is from the annotation of a GenBank genome assembly.
GUCAAGAUAAAAUAAGACAAUAUUAAUAGCAAGAUAUCACCCCUCUCCACUGUUCUUUAGAUAAUUUCCAACCACAGUGACAAGACUCUGGAGCCACCUAAAUACACAUGGCAGACCUUGCAGAGCAAGGUUUCCUGGAUGGCAUGGGUUGUGCUUGUAAGGUCCCCGUGUAAGGACUCUUUGGUGGAGUACAGCGAUUGGCUCGCCGUAGAUCUGUGUGUGUAGC